AAUAACAGCAGAUCUGAAAGCAGGAAUACAUCGUUAUUUAUGGAUGGAAAAAUCAUAUCACAAGAAAAGACUUGACUGGAAAAAGCUCCCAUGUAAUAAGGAAAGGACUUUUUGGAAUUUGGAAAAAGAUUAGUCUAAGGCUUAGUCUUUCGGUUUCACCUCUAAAAUCUCCUAUAGAAAUUUAAUAUUACAGAGAGACAUGAAAGAAGAAUGAUAACAUACUUUACAAAGAAAUGAUUAGUGAAGGGAAUAUCAAGUCAUAGAAAGAGAUAAAGGAUGAAGGAAAGGUAAUAAAAUGGCUGAUACUUUCAAUUAAUGUCCAGACUCAGAAGGUAAUUAAAAUCAGAGGGAAGAAGUUUAAGAGACAUGAUAGAACUAGAAAAAGAGAUUACAUCACAGAAACAAUAUUUGUUGGAAAGGAUGUAUAAAAUCCUGCUUAAAUAUGAAACAGAAACAGAGCAAAUAAAAGUUUGUAUGGUAAAAUGGAUGUAAAAUCUCAAAGAAUAACCUUCCAAUAAUGAGAGCCAUCAUGGUCAUAAAAUAUUAUGUUUACUACAUGCCAUAUGUUAAAAGAGGACCAGUAUAAAAUGUUUAACAGAUGGUAUAUGAUUUUCAAAGACAUUAUGCAAAUGAACAAAAAUAGUAAAAAUCUUUGGUGGAAAUGUCAAAAAGUAGAUCCUUCUUUUACAUUUGGUGGACUUGAAAAAGA
This is a long non-coding RNA of Sphaerodactylus townsendi, 709 nucleotides long. RefSeq lists it as uncharacterized. NCBI's taxonomy places the organism in Eukaryota, Metazoa, Chordata, Lepidosauria, Squamata, Sphaerodactylidae. The transcript has 3 exons. The record is from RefSeq and is a predicted model, not a curated record.